Molecule: long non-coding RNA, 1491 nt
Organism: Ochotona curzoniae (black-lipped pika)
Lineage: Eukaryota; Metazoa; Chordata; Mammalia; Lagomorpha; Ochotonidae
Exons: 9
Source: RefSeq, a predicted model, not a curated record
AUAUGUGAUUUUAUAGGUGCCUAAAAGACAAAAAUUAAAUCCUUCCCUUCAGAGAAUUUACAAAUUGAUUGAGAGAGAAGCACUCCAUGAAGGAAAAAUAAACUUAGGGGAAUCAGAGCUCGCCACAAUGGGAAUGCUUCUAUUAUUUAACAUGAUGGAAAGUUUAAAAGGCUGAGGAGUAAGAAACCAGGCCAUUAAAUAAUGUAUAAUAGAUUUCUUAGAGUAAUACUAAUAUCUUGAAGAGUGCUCUGUGAAGUACAUAUGACCAAAAGGAAAGGCAUGAAACACAUAACUAUAUUCCCAUGCUAAAGAGUACAAUCAAAUACAUUUUUGUUUAUGCAAAAAUGGCUUUUCUGUGGACUGUGGGAGCACCCAGGACAUAACCUUCCCGAGAUUGGUCUACCUGUAUAUGUCACGCAAGGUGUAAUGCAUUGUCAAGAAUGAAUAUCACCACGUACACAAACAGAGGAGACGCGGUGCAAAGCUUUGAACAAUCACUCCUAUAGACAAUGCUGGAAUGUUUGCUUGUGUAUUUCAUUGGGGGAAAUGCCCAUUUUUGAAAUAUCAUCAAACUGAUUUUUGGUCGGUGUUUCACAGGGAAUCACAGGCUCAAAUUCCAGGAGAAUUGGGUCAGCCUCUCAUCUCUGGGAGCCAAAGAGACUGAAUAUCAUGCAAUCUCAGCACUUUGGGAUGUGACUUUAAAACCAGAGGACAAAGUACACAUUUUGAGAGUUCUGUACUGCUCGCGUGUGUGUCUGCCUCAUUAAGAAAGGCUGAAGGGCAGGACUGCUCACAACAUCUUAGCUAACUUAAUUUCCUGUCAUCUUCUGUUUCUUGGAGGACCUGGACUUCUGCAUGUGGGAAGUAAAUACCCCAGCUCCUCAUCCACCAGGAGUUGUGUGGCCUUUGACAUUCAAUACACUGUUUCCUAGUCCAGAAAUAUAAAAAGAUUUAGCAACUAUCUGCCUCUUCAAAAGAUACCGCCUGACCCUACUUCAAAUAUUUCUGUCUGUGACGUAGGAAGCGAUCACCAGAAUGGUUUAAAAGCUUGGAGAAAGGGAAACACAUACACAAAGAAUCAGAUUUGGUAUGGAAAUGGAAAACAUAUACUGGAUUACUUUAAGAAAUCCGCUUGAGCUAAAGAACGCUGAAAAGAAAAUGGACACAUCUUGAAAAGUAGUGAGAUCUCCACUGGGGGAAGCAGAAUGAGUAAUGAACUUGGAGGAAGCCAGUACUUCCAGAAAUUUGAGAUCCAGGUGCCAACAUCCACGUCCACAGAUGCGUUAUGGUUUCCUUUCUUUAACACUUGAGGAAUUGUGGGGCUUCUCAAGACAAGAGAAUGCGGCAUACCUGUACUGUCUCAAUGUGUAAGAAAACAGUUGGAAGCCCAAAAGUCAUACCAUUGAAGUUCCCUGCCUUACAGGCUGGGAUUAAAAGGGAAAACAAUCAGGAGCCCAACCUGGACCUAGUGUGUUUCUUUGCCAUAAAGAA